RNAcentral lists this small nuclear RNA (107 nucleotides) under Marmota monax (woodchuck). Lineage: Eukaryota; Metazoa; Chordata; Mammalia; Rodentia; Sciuridae. The record is from RNAcentral.
GUGCUUGCUUCGGCAGCACAUAUACUAAAAUUGGAACAAUACAGAAAAGAUUAGUAUGGCCCCUGCGCAAGGAUGACACACAAAUUCGUGAAGCAUUCUGUAUUUUU